GAAGAUGAUGUCUGCGGCCACCAAACUGUCCACUGUGAAGACAAACCAUGCAUGUUUAGUAGGCAGUGGCUCCUCUUCCCUGUGGGGAGUCCCACUGCUUCCCUGGCCUGGGUGUUCUCUGCCGUGCCUUUGGACACUUCUUCGGAAAAGCACAUGAACUCUUCGGAGUCUCCUGUUCCACUUGGUAAAUUUCCUAUAGCCACGCACUGAAAGUCCCUGCUGCCCUCCUUCCUCUGAGCUUGUGGGGCCCACAGAUCCCCUGCUCCACUUCCUGCUUCAUUUCAGCUGAUGGAUGACACUCCCUCGUUCUAAUACCAUCUGAAUGCCUGAGCAAUUACAUCUUACAACCUCAUGAAAAACACAGCAGCUUGUCACGAUGAAUGAUGUUACCGUGAAUAAUGCAGUUUUGAGUUCAAACUCCUUCUUAUUCCAAGAAUGAGUAAAUAUCCCUAUUCCCUCCCCUCCCCAUUGCAUUUGGGUUUGACAUGACAUGAAUCAUUGUGGUUUUACUCCUGGGUAGAAUUGUUUUUCUGUAUUGCAUUGCCAAUUGAUGGAAGGACAAAAAAAGGAAACUUACCAAUGAGCAGUUUCAGAUGAACUUAAAUUCUCAGAAAUCUUGAAGAAUGAAUGAACUAUAACUUUCUGAAGUUGCAAAAAUGUUCAAGUCGGAAGUGACCCAUGGGAAGCAACCUGGUCCUUAAUUAGGACUGGAAAGAAAACGGAGGCCCAGCGAGGGAACAGUGGCUUCCCCAAGGUCACACUGCAAGUGAGUGGUGGCACUAGUCACCCAGGAGUCCUCCUGACUCCAUGGUAUCCUGACCCCAGACCAGCAGCCUUAUUUGUGGUUAAAGAACGUGGAAAAACAGCUUAUGUUUGAAUUUUAAAAUCAUGCCAGUACUAAAGAUCUGCAUUCCAUGAAUAUUGAGCUUUGCUGUGUGCGGGUUGCUACGAAUUUUGUAACUAUUUUCUCUAAGAGCUCUCAGUAUUUUACAUAUACAAUUCCAUUCUUUAUUGUCCAGGGAAAAAGUUGCAUUUACUGAGCAGUAAGAGGGUGAUUUGAAGUCCCUGGGGUCCCCCACCCUUGUCUUUCUAUGUGAGAUUGUAUUGCAGGGCUCACAUUUAUUCUCUCAGCAGCUCAUUGCACAGACAGUGUAUUUAUUGAGCACCUACUGUGUGCCAGGAGCUAUGUGGUAAGCUAAGCAGACAAAAACUCCUGCUCUCACAAGAAGAAAGAAUAAACAAGCAGACAAUUGCACCUAUAAUGUCA
This is a long non-coding RNA of Homo sapiens (human), 1267 nucleotides long. Ensembl annotates it as long intergenic non-protein coding RNA 649. The record is from Ensembl. NCBI's taxonomy places the organism in Eukaryota, Metazoa, Chordata, Mammalia, Primates, Hominidae.